AGAGUUUGAUCAUGGCUCAGGAUGAACGCUGGCGGCGUGCCUAAUACAUGCAAGUCGAACGCUUUGUCUUUAAUUGAUCUGACGAGCUUGCUCUGAAGUGAUUUUAUCUGACAAAGAGUGGCGAACGGGUGAGUAACACGUGGGUAACCUACCUCUUAGCAGGGGAUAACAUUUGGAAACAAGUGCUAAUACCGUAUAAUACCAACAACCGCAUGGUUGUUGGUUGAAAGAUGGCUCUGCUAUCACUAAGAGAUGGACCCGCGGUGCAUUAGCUAGUUGGUAAGGUAACGGCUUACCAAGGCGAUGAUGCAUAGCCGAGUUGAGAGACUGAUCGGCCACAAUGGGACUGAGACACGGCCCAUACUCCUACGGGAGGCAGCAGUAGGGAAUCUUCCACAAUGGGCGCAAGCCUGAUGGAGCAACGCCGCGUGUGUGAUGAAGGGUUUCGGCUCGUAAAACACUGUUAUAAGAGAAGAACGGCACUGAGAGUAACUGUUCAGUGUGUGACGGUAUCUUACCAGAAAGGAACGGCUAAAUACGUGCCAGCAGCCGCGGUAAUACGUAUGUUCCAAGCGUUAUCCGGAUUUAUUGGGCGUAAAGCGAGCGCAGACGGUUAUUUAAGUCUGAAGUGAAAGCCCUCAGCUCAACUGAGGAAUGGCUUUGGAAACUGGAUGACUUGAGUGCAGUAGAGGAAAGUGGAACUCCAUGUGUAGCGGUGAAAUGCGUAGAUAUAUGGAAGAACACCAGUGGCGAAGGCGGCUUUCUGGACUGUAACUGACGUUGAGGCUCGAAAGUGUGGGUAGCAAACAGGAUUAGAUACCCUGGUAGUCCACACCGUAAACGAUGAGUGCUAGAUGUUCGAGGGUUUCCGCCCUUGAGUGUCGCAGCUCACGCAUUAAGCACUCCUGCCUGGGGAGUA
Molecule: ribosomal RNA, 919 nt
Filed under: uncultured bacterium
Lineage: Bacteria
Description: bacterial SSU rRNA
Rfam family: Bacterial small subunit ribosomal RNA
Source: RNAcentral